This 489-nucleotide ribosomal RNA is filed under the name uncultured bacterium. RNAcentral describes it as "partial 16S ribosomal RNA". It matches the Rfam family "Bacterial small subunit ribosomal RNA", at positions 28 to 507 of the family's 1533-position model. The record is from RNAcentral.
GAUGAACGCUAGCUACAGGCUUAACACAUGCAAGUCGCGGGGCAGCAUGGGGGUUGCUUGCAACUCCCGAUGGCGACCGGCGCACGGGUGAGUAACGCGUAUCCAACCUGCCCUUCACCACGGGAUAACCCGGCGAAAGUCGGACUAAUACCGUAUGUUGUCCAUUGACGGCAUCCGAUUUGGACGAAAGGCUUUGCGGUGAAGGAUGGGGAUGCGUCCGAUUAGCCAGACGGCGGGGUAACGGCCCACCGUGGCUACGAUCGGUAGGGGUUCUGAGAGGAAGGUCCCCCACACUGGAACUGAGACACGGUCCAGACUCCUACGGGAGGCAGCAGUGAGGAAUAUUGGUCAAUGGGCGUAAGCCUGAACAGCCAAGUAGCGUGCAGGAUGACGGCCCUAUGGGUUGUAAACUGCUUUUAUGCGGGGAUAAAGUGGCCCACGUGUGGGCUUUUGCAGGUACCGCAUGAAUAAGGACCGGCUAAUUCCGUG